This 403-nucleotide ribosomal RNA is filed under the name Verrucomicrobiota bacterium. Its description in RNAcentral is "Verrucomicrobia bacterium partial 16S ribosomal RNA". It matches the Rfam family "Bacterial small subunit ribosomal RNA", at positions 355 to 776 of the family's 1533-position model. Lineage: Bacteria; Pseudomonadati; Verrucomicrobiota. The record is from RNAcentral.
UGGGGAAUAUUGCACAAUGGGCGCAAGCCUGAUGCAGCAACGCCGCGUGAACGAUGAAGGUCUUCGGAUCGUAAAGUUCUGUUGCAGGGGAAGAUAAUGACGGUACCCUGUGAGGAAGCCCCGGCUAACUACGUGCCAGCAGCCGCGGUAAUACGUAGGGGGCUAGCGUUAUCCGGAUUUACUGGGCGUAAAGGGUGCGUAGGUGGUCCUUCAAGUCGGUGGUUAAAGGCUACGGCUCAACCGUAGUAAGCCGCCGAAACUGGAGGGCUUGAGUUCAGGAGAGGAAAGUGGAAUUCCCAGUGUAGCGGUGAAAUGCGUAGAUAUUGGGAGGAACACCAGUAGCGAAGGCGGCUUUCUGGACUGCAACUGACCCUGAGGCACGAAAGCGUGGGUAGCAAACAGG